CAGCCGCCGCGGUAAUACGAAGGGGGCUAGCGUUGCUCGGAAUGACUGGGCGUAAAGGGCGCGUAGGCGGCGAUCAAAGUCAGGCGUGAAAUUCCUGGGCUCAACCUGGGGCUGCGUUUGAUACUUGAUUGCUAGAGUGGGGAAGAGGGUCGUGGAAUUCCCAGUGUAGAGGUGAAAUUCGUAGAUAUUGGGAAGAACACCGGUGGCGAAGGCGGCGACCUGGUCCUUGACUGACGCUGAGGCGCGAAAGCGUGGGGAGCAAACAGGAUUAGAUACCCCCGUAGUCCCUGUCUCUUAUACA
Molecule: ribosomal RNA, 301 nt
Filed under: uncultured bacterium
Lineage: Bacteria
Description: partial 16S ribosomal RNA
Rfam family: Bacterial small subunit ribosomal RNA
Source: RNAcentral